UCAGUGUGUGCAUUCACAUCAAAGGCCAACAUGAAGACAGGCACAGUCGUUGUUCUAGUGGCUUUUGUCAUCUUGGGGAUGGAGAUGGCCUUUGCUCAGAAACGUCCUCCUGGAGGGGGAAACAGACCUGGACUCUGCCCCAAGGUUCCCAAAGAUACGGGUGGGGCUUGUGCUGAAGGCUGCUCAGGAGAUUACUCAUGUCCCAAGGGAAUGAAAUGCUGCAGCAAUGGAUGUGGCCAUGAU
Myotis brandtii (Brandt's bat) is the source of this 243-nucleotide long non-coding RNA. RefSeq lists it as uncharacterized. Lineage: Eukaryota; Metazoa; Chordata; Mammalia; Chiroptera; Vespertilionidae. The transcript is spliced from 2 exons. The record is from RefSeq and is a predicted model, not a curated record.